UCACCUAAAGGGACCAAAAUCAGAUCUAUAAAAAGAAAACAAAAUGGUCUAGAAAAAUCAUAAAAUUCGUAGAUUUCAAACAGAUCAUUAAUUUGUAGAUAGUAUUACAGAAAUUUAGAAUACCAAUUUUAACAGAGAAUGAGAAGGACAAAUAAACUAGGGUUUGUAAUUGAUUUUCCAAAAUCGAUUUACUAUCAUCUUCAGCAACAAUAAUUUGAAGAUACAAAGCAAAGAUUCAGAAAAAAUAUGAAGAAAUGGGCAAAACAUGUACAACUCAAGCACAAACCCAUGCAUAUUUCUCUUGACUGUGCACUAUACAUGUGCAUAUGUGUCUGUUUUAUGAAAAGUUGGUGAAACAUAAGAGUUAUAACUGUCUAAUGGAAGUAAUGCUUGCCAAAAUAAAGAAGAAAAGAAUCAAGAUGGCGUUCUGCAUCUUGAAGUUGCUGCAAGAAAAUGGUAAAUUGAAGAUACAAAAAGACAGAUGUGAGUUUGGGUGAAAGCUAGAUUUGAAAAGAAAAAAAAAUACUAAUUGAUACUCAUGAACUGAUGUAAAUUUGCAGAAAAAAUGCUCUGAAAACACACUCUUAAUUAGAUAUAGUAUAUAUGUUUGUCUUA
Molecule: long non-coding RNA, 615 nt
Organism: Papaver somniferum (opium poppy)
Lineage: Eukaryota; Viridiplantae; Streptophyta; Magnoliopsida; Ranunculales; Papaveraceae
Exons: 2
Source: RefSeq, a predicted model, not a curated record